GGGGCGGGUGGUGCGGUGGGUAGCACUGUCGCCUCACAGCAAGAAGGUUCUGGGUUCGAUUCCCGUAGGCGGCCCUGGUGAGAGAGAGUUUGCACAUGCUCUCUGUGCUUGGUUGGCUUCUCUCCAUUGUAGGUGUGAGUGUGUGAGUGAAUGGUUGUCUGUCUAUGUGUUGCCCUGCGAUGGACUGGCGAUCUGUCCUGCCUCUCGCCCGUAGCCAGCUGGGAUAAACUCCACCCCCGUGACAGCACCCCCGUGACCCCGCACUAGGGAGUAAGCGGUUAAGAAAAUGGAUGGAUGGAUAGAAAUGCAUGGAAUCUGUCGAUUCUUCUAAAAAGCAUGCAGGAUGCAGAUCUUCAGUCUAACACUCUCCCGCCUGAGCUACUCCAGGAAAAAAGAGUUACUUUGUGGUAGUCAAAAGCAGCAAUUUUUUUUAAUUAUUUGUUGUAGCCUAAAUCUCUGACAAAAAUAUAAGACGCAAUCCAACAAAAGCUGCUCUGGCCAGACACACCAACAAUUGCAGCCACUCAAGUUCAGGUCAGCCCUGGUGUACCACAGGGUAAACUCUGCUAGAGUUUUUCCAUCAGCACCUAUGUUGUCAUCAACUUUGAGCCUGUAGCUAAUCCUAGGCAUAAAUGACUGAACACACUCAUUGCUCUGGUAAGAAAUUUACAGCAAAGAAACACAGUCGUUAGUCUGAUAAGAACUUACUCCCUUACUCAGGGCUCAGACUUAAUAUUGUCCCAUUUCAGGCUGCAGGUUGAUGGUGAGUCUUGCUUCUCUGAUUUCAAUCCAUUUAACCUUCACAGGCGUGCACUGGCUUCUGAAGACAGGGAUUACAGGUCAUAUCCAGGGUUUCAACGACCAAUGUCCCGCUCCCUACCACAACCACGUGUGUUGCAAUACUGAAGAAAAGAAAAAAAAAACUAGUGCUGCUUGUACAAAUGUGAGAGAAAAUGACAUCCUCUGUUUCUGCCUGGCAUUGAAGCAGGGACCUUUUGCGUGUGAAGCAAACGUGAAAACCGCUACACUACAGAAACUUUGAUUUGAUUAGGGCUUUGGUUAUGGCAGAGUUGGUACAGUAUCUCACCUCUUCAAAGCUAAUACUUAAACUCGCUGUUGCUUUAUCAGAAAGAUUUAAUGGUUCCUUGAAAAUUAUUUGUUGUAGCCUAAAUCUCUGACAAAAAUAUAAGACGCAAUCCAACAAAAGCUGCUCUGGCCAGACACACCAACAAUUGCAGCCACUCAAGUUAUUUGCUCUCUUUUCAAAACCAUUUACCAACUUAAGCCACAUUCUUCCUCAAGUACAAAUUGCUGCCCCUGAGCAUGUUAGGAUUGAGUGGAUUGGAGAGGCCUGGAGGUUUUGGUAUCUUUCCAGGUCAGCCCUGGCGUAGCACAGCAGAAUCUGCCAAAAUCAAUUUCAAUCAAGUUGCUGGAAACACAAACAUGUUUUAG
This 1452-nucleotide transfer RNA is filed under the name Betta splendens (Siamese fighting fish). Its description in RNAcentral is "lncRNA (ENSBSLG00000005654.1)". Lineage: Eukaryota; Metazoa; Chordata; Actinopteri; Anabantiformes; Osphronemidae. The record is from RNAcentral.